This 919-nucleotide ribosomal RNA is filed under the name uncultured Bacillota bacterium. RNAcentral describes it as "bacterial SSU rRNA". It matches the Rfam family "Bacterial small subunit ribosomal RNA", at positions 1 to 917 of the family's 1533-position model. The record is from RNAcentral. Lineage: Bacteria; Bacillati; Bacillota.
UGGAUCCAGACUUUGAUCAUGGCUCAGGACGAACGCUGGCGGCGUGCCUAACACAUGCAAGUCGAACGGAACUAUUUUAAAAGAUUUCUUCGGAAUGAUUUUGGCUUAGUUUAGUGGCGGACGGGUGAGUAACGCGUGAGUAACCUGCCUUCAAGAGGGGGAUAACGCUCUGAAAAGGACGCUAAUACCGCAUAACAUAUCGGAAUCGCAUGGUUCUGAUAUCAAAGAUUUUAUCGCUUGAAGAUGGACUCGCGUCCGAUUAGUUAGUUGGUGAGGUAACGGCUCACCAAGACCGCGAUCGGUAGCCGGACUGAGAGGUUGAACGGCCACAUUGGGACUGAGACACGGCCCAGACUCCUACGGGAGGCAGCAGUGGGGGAUAUUGCGCAAUGGGGGCAACCCUGACGCAGCAACGCCGCGUGAAGGAUGAAGGUUUUCGGAUUGUAAACUUCUUUUCUUAAGGACGAAAAUUGACGGUACUUAAGGAAUAAGCUCCGGCUAACUACGUGCCAGCAGCCGCGGUAAUACGUAGGGAGCAAGCGUUGUCCGGAUUUACUGGGUGUAAAGGGUGCGUAGGCGGCAAUGCAAGUCAGAUGUGAAAUCUAUGGGCUCAACCCAUAAACUGCAUUUGAAACUGCGUUGCUUGAGUGAAGUAGAGGCAGGCGGAAUUCCCCGUGUAGCGGUGAAAUGCGUAGAGAUGGGGAGGAACACCAGUGGCGAAGGCGGCCUGCUGGGCUUUAACUGACGCUGCGGCACGAAAGCGUGGGUAGCAAACAGGAUUAGAUACCCUGGUAGUCCACGCUGUAAACGAUGAUUACUAGGUGUGGGGGGUCUGACCCCUUCCGUGCCGGAGUUAACACAAUAAGUAAUCCACCUGGGGAGUACGGCCGCAAGGUUGCAACUCAAAUGAAUUGACGGA